AGGAGCUUGCUCCUCUGAUUUACGGCGGACGGGUGAGUAACACGUGGGUAAUCUGCCUGUAAGACGGGGAUAACUCCGGGAAACCGGGGCUAAUACCGGAUAAUAAGAGAAGAAGCAUUUCUUCUUUUUGAAAGUCGGUUUCGGCUGACACUUACAGAUGAGCCCGCGGCGCAUUAGCUAGUUGGUGAGGUAACGGCUCACCAAGGCGACGAUGCGUAGCCGACCUGAGAGGGUGAUCGGCCACACUGGGACUGAGACACGGCCCAGACUCCUACGGGAGGCAGCAGUAGGGAAUCUUCGGCAAUGGGCGAAAGCCUGACCGAGCAACGCCGCGUGAGCGAUGAAGGCCUUCGGGUCGUAAAGCUCUGUUGUUAGAGAAGAACAAGUACGAGAGUAACUGCUCGUACCUUGACGGUACCUAACCAGAAAGCCACGGCUAACUACGUGCCAGCAGCCGCGGUAAUACGUAGGUGGCAAGCGUUAUCCGGAAUUAUUGGGCGUAAAGCGCGCGCAGGCGGUCUCUUAAGUCUGAUGUGAAAGCCCACGGCUCAACCGUGGAGGGUCAUUGGAAACUGGGAGACUUGAGUGCAGGAGAGAAAAGUGGAAUUCCACGUGUAGCGGUGAAAUGCGUAGAGAUGUGGAGGAACACCAGUGGCGAAGGCGGCUUUUUUGGCCUGUAACUGACGCUGACGCGCGAAAGCGUGGGGAGCAAACAGGAUUAUAUACCCUGAUAGUCCACGCCGUAAACGAUGAGUGCUAGGUGUUGGGGG
Molecule: ribosomal RNA, 770 nt
Filed under: Bacillus sp. (in: firmicutes)
Lineage: Bacteria; Bacillati; Bacillota; Bacilli; Caryophanales; Bacillaceae
Description: bacterial SSU rRNA
Rfam family: Bacterial small subunit ribosomal RNA
Source: RNAcentral